Notolabrus celidotus (New Zealand spotty) is the source of this 511-nucleotide long non-coding RNA. RefSeq lists it as uncharacterized. The transcript has 2 exons. Lineage: Eukaryota; Metazoa; Chordata; Actinopteri; Labriformes; Labridae. The record is from RefSeq and is a predicted model, not a curated record.
GUUUCACUCUUAAGGAGGAAAUUUCAUCAGGAGGUCACUGUCUUUUUAAAAGUAAGUACAUUUUAAAACUUCACAGAUGAUGUCAGCAGAUACAGCAGACAUCUCUGGACAUGUGCAGGAGAUCUUGAUCACAGAGACACUCAGCUUUCUGUUAUUACAAACAUUUAUAUUCUUUGAUUUUAAACCCUGAUGACCUCAACCUUUCCUGCAUAACCUGAACCCUGACCUCUGCCAGUACAUCUCAUUCCCAGGCUGAUUGCGUCGUUUCCCUGCGUGAGUCCCGGUUAUUUUGUUCCUGCGGGUCAGGUGAUGGGGCAGCUGGAUUGUUGGCUGUUUCCUCUCAUCAUGUGAUAGGAACGAUUGGGGUUACUGAACCAGAGGCGUGUCGAGACGUGUCCCUACCCUGAGUCUCGACACACCUCUGGUCCUGACUAUUCAGAUACCUCGAUCCCUACUCAUCCCUCCUUACUUCAACUCUUUAACUUACUUAUAUAAAAUGAUUAAAACUGUA